RNAcentral lists this transfer RNA (83 nucleotides) under Coniophora olivacea. RNAcentral's name for it is "tRNA-Leu". It matches the Rfam family "tRNA". Rfam says of the family: Transfer RNA (tRNA) molecules are approximately 80 nucleotides in length. Their secondary structure includes four short double-helical elements and three loops (D, anti-codon, and T loops). The record is from RNAcentral. Lineage: Eukaryota; Fungi; Basidiomycota; Agaricomycetes; Boletales; Coniophoraceae.
ACGAGUAUGCCGAAAUUGGUAGCCGGGUGAAUCUUAGGAAUUUAUGAUUUUGAAUCGUAAGAGUUCAAGUCUCUUUACUCGUA